Molecule: ribosomal RNA, 447 nt
Filed under: uncultured bacterium
Lineage: Bacteria
Description: bacterial SSU rRNA
Rfam family: Bacterial small subunit ribosomal RNA
Source: RNAcentral
UCGGGAAUUUUGGGCAAUGGGCGAAAGCCUGACCCAGCAACGCCGCGUGAAGGAUGAAGUAUUUCGGUAUGUAAACUUCGAAAGAAUAGGAAGAAUAAAUGACGGUACUAUUUAUAAGGUCCGGCUAACUACGUGCCAGCAGCCGCGGUAAUACGUAGGGACCAAGCGUUGUUCGGAUUUACUGGGCGUAAAGGGCGCGUAGGCGGCAAUUCAAGUCAUCUGUGAAAUCUCCGGGCUUAACUCGGAACGGUCAGAUGAUACUGCUUUGCUAGAGUGCAGAAGGGGCAAUCGGAAUUCUUGGUGUAGCGGUGAAAUGCGUAGAUAUCAAGAGGAACACCUGAGGUGAAGACGGGUUGCUGGGCUGACACUGACGCUGAGGCGCGAAAGCCAGGGGAGCAAACGGGAUUAGAUACCCCCGUAGUCACUGAGCGGGCUGGCAAGGCGCAU